GCUAAUCCUAUUAAAGAGUCCAUAUCAAUAGUAGGGAUUGGCACCUCGAUGUUGGCUUAGGGCAUUCUUUAUGGCGCAAAAGUCAUAAACAGAUAGUUUGUUCAACUAAUAAAUCCCUACAUGAGCUGAGUUCAGACCGGCGUAAGCCAGGUUAGCUUCUAUCCUCGACAAUAAAAUCUGUUUGUAGUACGAAAGGACCUAAACAAGAAUAAUUAUUAUAAAAAAAAGAAUAAAUUUAAUAGAAAAUAAAAUAAAAUAUAAGAACACUACU
This 271-nucleotide ribosomal RNA is filed under the name Proandricus thornvillensis. RNAcentral's name for it is "partial 16S ribosomal RNA". The stretch from base 1 to 166 matches the Rfam family "Bacterial large subunit ribosomal RNA", at positions 2481 to 2645 of the family's 2925-position model. The record is from RNAcentral. Lineage: Eukaryota; Metazoa; Annelida; Clitellata; Crassiclitellata; Microchaetidae.